GGGGACAUAACUCAGUGGUAGCGCACUUGCCUGUCAUGCAGGAAGCCCUCGGUUCAAUCCCAGGUAACACUA
Molecule: non-coding RNA, 72 nt
Organism: Fukomys damarensis (Damara mole-rat)
Lineage: Eukaryota; Metazoa; Chordata; Mammalia; Rodentia; Bathyergidae
Source: Rfam